AUCCCGUGAUGGGGGACACUUUCUAAUAAGAUCCUUGAACCUCUCCCAAACAUCAUAAAGAGACUCACGGUCGAGCUGGUAGAAAUUAUUGAUCUCCCUUCUCAGCCU
Small nucleolar RNA from Cannabis sativa, 108 nucleotides. Lineage: Eukaryota; Viridiplantae; Streptophyta; Magnoliopsida; Rosales; Cannabaceae. The record is from RefSeq and is a predicted model, not a curated record.